Cucurbita pepo subsp. pepo (vegetable marrow) is the source of this 202-nucleotide non-coding RNA. The record is from RefSeq and is a predicted model, not a curated record. Lineage: Eukaryota; Viridiplantae; Streptophyta; Magnoliopsida; Cucurbitales; Cucurbitaceae.
AAAACUAUUAGACAGUUUACACCAAGAUAUAGCUUGGUAAACAACAUUGUCGAAAAGUUUUGUGUAGGUCUGUGUCUUUUCUACAAAUAUUCUCUUAUUUCUUUUUUUCCACCGAUUCCAAAAGAAAGCCAUGAUGAGGUUUUCCCAUAAUAGGGCUUUUGCGUUCUUGAAAGGGUGGUACGUUAAGGCCAUAUCCAAAAAA